This 128-nucleotide microRNA precursor is filed under the name Pelobates cultripes (western spadefoot toad). Lineage: Eukaryota; Metazoa; Chordata; Amphibia; Anura; Pelobatidae. The record is from RNAcentral.
GUGGUCCCCAACCCAGUCCUCAUGGACCACCAACAGUCCAGGAUUUAUGUAUUUCCCUUUUUUAUUCAAAUGGAGAUACUGACAAAAUCUGGAUUGUUGGCGGUCCAUGAGGACUGGGUUGGGGACCA